CACCGCGGUUAUACGAGAGACCCAAGUCGAUGGUCUUCGGCGUAAAGAGUGGUUAAGAUUCAAUUAAAACUAAAGCCAAACGACUUCAUAGCUGUUAUACGCACAUGAAGAGAUGAAACCCAACCACGAAAGUGGCUUUAAAUUUCUGACCCCACGAAAGCUAUGGAA
This 168-nucleotide ribosomal RNA is filed under the name Anampses meleagrides (spotted wrasse). Its description in RNAcentral is "partial 12S ribosomal RNA". The record is from RNAcentral. Lineage: Eukaryota; Metazoa; Chordata; Actinopteri; Labriformes; Labridae.